GGAUACUUAGAGAACCCCCAUGAGCUCCUCCUGCAUCCUCAGUUGAAGAGGAAGACCCUCCCUGAGAGAGGAGGACUGAAUUUUAAUCAAGACUCUAUGAGUAGCCAUGCUCCUGUGCUAGAACCAGACUAAAGGCAAAGUAUAAGAAAAACAAGGCUAUAAGCCCAAAGUCUUUCAUGGCACAU
RNAcentral lists this small nuclear RNA (185 nucleotides) under Rattus norvegicus (Norway rat). Its description in RNAcentral is "7SK RNA". The record is from Rfam by way of RNAcentral. Lineage: Eukaryota; Metazoa; Chordata; Mammalia; Rodentia; Muridae.